UGCGGCGUGCUUAACACAUGCAAGUCGAACGGAAAGGCCCUGCUUUUGUGGGGUGCUCGAGUGGCGAACGGGUGAGUAACACGUGAGUAACCUGCCCUUGACUUUGGGAUAACUUCAGGAAACUGGGGCUAAUACCGGAUAGGAGCUCCUGCUGCAUGGUGGGGGUUGGAAAGUUUCGGCGGUUGGGGAUGGACUCGCGGCUUAUCAGCUUGUUGGUGGGGUAGUGGCUUACCAAGGCUUUGACGGGUAGCCGGCCUGAGAGGGUGACCGGCCACAUUGGGACUGAGAUACGGCCCAGACUCCUACGGGAGGCAGCAGUGGGGAAUAUUGCACAAUGGGCGGAAGCCUGAUGCAGCAACGCCGCGUGCGGGAUGACGGCCUUCGGGUUGUAAACCGCUUUCGCCUGUGACGAAGCGUGAGUGACGGUAAUGGGUAAAGAAGCACCGGCUAACUACGUGCCAGCAGCCGCGGUGAUACGUAGGGUGCGAGCGUUGUCCGGAUUUAUUGGGCGUAAAGGGCUCGUAGGUGGUUGAUCGCGUCGGAAGUGUAAUCUUGGGGCUUAACCCUGAGCGUGCUUUCGAUACGGGUUGACUUGAGGAAGGUAGGGGAGAAUGGAAUUCCUGGUGGAGCGGUGGAAUGCGCAGAUAUCAGGAGGAACACCAGUGGCGAAGGCGGUUCUCUGGGCCUUUCCUGACGCUGAGGAGCGAAAGCGUGGGGAGCGAACAGGCUUAGAUACCCUGGUAGUCCACGCUGUAAACGGUGGGUACUAGGUGUGGGGUCCAUUCCACGGGUUCCGUGCCGUAGCUAACGCUUUAAGUACCCCGCCUGGGGAGUACGGCCGCAAGGCUAAAACUCAAAGGAAUUGACGGGGCCCCGCACAAGCGGCGGAGCAUGCGGAUUAAUUCGAUGCAACGCGUAGAACCUUACCUGGGUUUGACAUGGAUCGGGAGUGCUCAGAGAUGGGUGUGCCUCUUUUGGGGUCGGUUCACAGGUGGUGCAUGGCUGUCGUCAGCUCGUGUCGUGAGAUGUUGGGUUAAGUCCCGCAACGAGCGCAACCCUUGUUCACUGUUGCCAGCACGUUAUGGUGGGGACUCAGUGGAGACCGCCGGGGUCAACUCGGAGGAAGGUGGGGAUGACGUCAAGUCAUCAUGCCCCUUAUGUCCAGGGCUUCACGCAUGCUACAAUGGCUGGUACAGAGAGUGGCGAGCCUGUGAGGGUGAGCGAAUCUCGGAAAGCCGGUCUCAGUUCGGAUUGGGGUCUGCAACUCGACCUCAUGAAGUCGGAGUCGCUAGUAAUCGCAGAUCAGCAACGCUGCGGUGAAUACGUUCCCGGGGCUUGUACACACCGCCCGUCAAGUCAUGAAAGUUGGUAACACCCGAAGCCGGUGGCCUAACCGUUGUGGGGGAGCCGUCGAAGGUGGGACUGGUGAUUAGGACUAAG
RNAcentral lists this ribosomal RNA (1440 nucleotides) under uncultured organism. RNAcentral describes it as "partial small subunit ribosomal RNA". It matches the Rfam family "Bacterial small subunit ribosomal RNA". The record is from RNAcentral.